GAAAGAUUAGACCCAUUUAGUCCUCUGGCCUACAUCUUUCUCCCAUGCUGGAUGCUUCCUGCCCUUGAACAUUGAACUCCAAGUUCUUCAGCUUUGGGACUCGGACUUUCUUUGCUUCUCAGCUUGUAGACAGCCUAUUGUGGGACCUCACCUCGUGAUCACGGGUGCUCAAAUGAAAGAGAAAAGUUUAAAAAGCAACAUUUGUUAGAAGACAUAAUGAUGCACAUUUCUGCUCAACUGGGAGUACAUUGUCUGCUGGGGCCAAGGUCUGGGAGAGAGCAGGGGAGUGGAGGAGCCAAGAUGGCCGAAUAGGAACAGCUCUGGUCUACAGCUCCCAGCGUAAGCGACGCAGAAGACAGGUGAUUUCUGCAUUUCCAUCUGAGGAUCCUACAGGACAUUCAAUCAUCACGUCUCCUUAGGCCCCUCUCAACUGUGGCAGUUUCUCAGACUUCGUUGUUUUUGCUCUUUCUCUUUCACGUGGGGAGAGUGUGGAACGGCUCAGUUUCUCCAGCAAGGAAUCCUCCUGUCCUGUCUAAAAGGCAACCUGCAUCCUAGGAGCAAAGAGAGGGAAAAGCACUGAGGAGUACGGCCAUGCCAUAGGCAGAUUUGCAAUUAAUUCUCUCGCUUGCAGCCCUAUGACUAAUUCUGGGCCAGGCCGUGCAUAUUGUCUCCAAAUCCUGAGGCUCUUGCCUCCCAUUCUCCAAAGAAUAAUCAGCCUCCUGCCUGGGGGGGUGAUUACACAGCUGCUAGGGUUCUAUGCCUGAGCCGUAAGUGAGGUACACAGACUGUUUCCCAUGUUAACAUAUUCUUCAGUUUAUUCCCACACUCUCUGCUGUACUGGAUUCCUCAGUUUCGGAGCUUCUCCAGGAGUCUACAGGACUAACUUAUUGUCUCCUUGUUAGUACCAACUUCUUGCUUGUCCUUUAAGAUAUGAUAUCCUCAAUCUGGUUAUAUCAGACACCUUUCCUACAUUCCUUUCCUGUCUUUUGAAAUAUGAUUGAAAUAUUUCAUCAAUUAAUGUCUUCUCUCCUAUUCUCUUUGUACUUGCAAGCUUAAGCCUCUUUUAUCUUUUCAAAUAUUUUAGCAGGCUCUCUGAAAGGAGAGGCUAUAAACUUCUAUGUCUAUUCUUCUAUCUUUAAAUUCAACAAGAGGCAGAACACUUUCAUGGUUAAGUUAGGCCUGCAUUUAAAUCCUGCCUCUGUCACAUACUUUUCUAAGACUUAGAAAUUUGCUAACCUCUGGAAACCUUGACCUCCUUUCUGUAAAAUGAGAACCUACCUCAUUGGGUUGUUGUGAGGAUCAAAUAAAAUAUGUAUGGUUGGCACGUA
RNAcentral lists this long non-coding RNA (1328 nucleotides) under Homo sapiens (human). Its description in RNAcentral is "HSALNT0336271". Lineage: Eukaryota; Metazoa; Chordata; Mammalia; Primates; Hominidae. The record is from RNAcentral.